GUAUAAAAAUAACAGGAGGUUUGUUAACCAGCAUGAUUGAAACAGAAUCUAUUCUCUGAUUUCUUGUGUUUGCUUCCCCUCAGGCUGGAAGAAGGUGGAGGAGAGUGCAAGCCAGUCAGUCCUGUUUCUGCACAUCUGGCACAGAAAGUGUUCUUUCCGAUCUUUCUGUUUCAAGAAGAAAAUGAAUGAAAUUUCAGACCAGGAAUCCCGUGAAAUCAACCACAACAACAAGAUUACAUUUGUAUAGUGCCUUUCACGUUGGGAGGACGUCCCAAGACACUGGAAUCAUUGCGACCAUGCACAACCUACCAAACGGGUCUGGAAGAUCGAAUAAACAGAGAUCCUUCAUUUCCACACCACAAACACAGAGAGUGUCCCUGUCAAAGUCCC
Molecule: long non-coding RNA, 390 nt
Organism: Callorhinchus milii (elephant shark)
Lineage: Eukaryota; Metazoa; Chordata; Chondrichthyes; Chimaeriformes; Callorhinchidae
Exons: 3
Source: RefSeq, a predicted model, not a curated record